This 75-nucleotide small nucleolar RNA is filed under the name Aotus nancymaae (Ma's night monkey). Lineage: Eukaryota; Metazoa; Chordata; Mammalia; Primates; Aotidae. The record is from RNAcentral.
AGUGUAUGACGACACCUCGGUAAUGCCACACACUUCUGUGUGCAAUGGAAACAACAAUCUUGAGUUGAGUGUACA